RNAcentral lists this ribosomal RNA (301 nucleotides) under uncultured bacterium. RNAcentral's name for it is "partial 16S ribosomal RNA". It matches the Rfam family "Bacterial small subunit ribosomal RNA", at positions 509 to 807 of the family's 1533-position model. The record is from RNAcentral.
CAGCAGCCGCGGGAAUACGAAGGGGGCUAGCGUUGUUCGGAAUCACUGGGCGUAAAGGGUGCGUAGGCGGAUUCUUAAGUCAGGGGUGAAAUCCCGAGGCUCAACCUCGGAACUGCCUUUGAUACUGGGGAUCUUGAGUCCGGAAGAGGUGGGUGGAACUGCGAGUGUAGAGGUGAAAUUCGUAGAUAUUCGCAAGAACACCGGUGGCGAAGGCGGCUCACUGGUCCGGAACUGACGCUGAGGCACGACAGCGUGGGGAGCAAACAGGAUUAGAUACCCCGGUAGUCCCUGUCUCUUAUAC